This 5016-nucleotide long non-coding RNA is filed under the name Sus scrofa (pig). RNAcentral's name for it is "lncRNA (ENSSSCG00015046423.1)". The record is from RNAcentral. Lineage: Eukaryota; Metazoa; Chordata; Mammalia; Artiodactyla; Suidae.
UUUUUUUUUUUUUUUUUUUAGGGCCACACCUGUGGCACAUGGACGUUUCCAGGCUAGCGGUCGAAUCAGAGCUGCCGCUGCCGGUCUAUACCACAGCCACAGCAACGCUAGAUCCGAGUGGCAUCUUAGACCUACACCGCAGCGUGUGGCUCUUUAAUCCACUGAUGGAGGAUCCGGCGUUGCUGUGAGCUGUGACGUAGGUCGCAGACGUGGCUCCAAUCCUGCAUUGCUGUGGCCUAAGCCGGCAACUAUAGCUCCAAUGCGACCUGGGAACUUGCAGAGGCUACAGGUGCACCCCCCCAAAAAAAAACCCAGCAAUUAAGAAGGGAGAGAAAGAAAGAAAUCAAAUAAUGCCAAAUAGAAGACAGUUUUCUAAAUCAGGACAAGUCAAUGAGAGACUCAAUCAAUGGUGGUGUCUAAACAACCACAUGUUAAGAAAGGGCACAGCAAGCAAUACUUUCCUUAAGGAAGCCGACGGAAGACACACGUGUUGGUCAUCCAGGCUGAGCACAGAUCCGGCCUUGGCUGUAAGGUGAUGGGUCUCUGGAGCUUCACUGUCACCCAGACCAGCACCACACAGCUUGGUGCAGAGACUUGAACUCUGAUGUGCUCUGUCAGCUGCAAACCCUGGCCCUGGGGAGGGUUUGCUACCCCCCAGCCUGGUCCCGGGGGACUUGGACAGGAAGCGGGUUUGGCUUCAACUCAUUCAAGGCACCGCAGCCUGGAAACGCUCGCAGGCGAAAUGUACACGAGCGGGCGUGAGGGUGGCCAAUCAGGGCCGCCUGGGAAGCCUUCUGGUGAAACCGGAAUUUCGCAAAAGUUACCAUUUUUCAAAUACGUGUGUCCCACACGUAACUUGCUGUUUACCUGAAAUGCAGGUUAAAGACCUCUCUCCCUGUGUUUGUAACUGCUUGAUCUGAGGUCAAGGGCUGAAUCGUGGUCCCUCAAGUUCGAGCAGAGACGCCCUGGCCCCAAGGAUCAGAAGGGGAUUUAUUUGCACACGGGGCCUUGAGAGAGAUGAUGAGGUCAACAUGACACACGCAGGCGGAGGGGCCGUGAGGACACAGGGAGAAGGGCUGCCUGCAAGCUGAGGCCCCCCCCGGCUGACACACCUGGAUCUCGGGCUCCCAGCUCCAGAGCUUGGAAACCACAAGCUGCCUGGUCUGUGGCGGGAACGCAGCCCUGGAGAUGGAUGCAUCUGAUAAUUCCAGUUCCAAUAAAAGUUUAUUUAUAAAAACAGGGGGCCAGUUCAUGGGCCGGAACUUGCCAGCCUCUGUUCUGGAGAAAAAGCAAGGCCAAACCAAGGCGAUGUUGCGAGGCGCCCCGGAGGGGGUGGUCUCCGUGGUCCAGCCUUGCCCACCGGCUGCAGACCCCGCGGUCCUGGAACUCACGGCUUUGGCCUCCACUCUGGUGGGAAUGGGGCAUGGCAGACUUGGUCUGCGCUGGGGGGAAAGCCGUGUCGGGGGGCCCCCCGACCUUCCCCAGGUGUGCUGGCUCCUCCUGGCACCACCCAGCAGGCCCUUCGGAGCCCAGCCCUCCUCCGCCACCAUCGGGUGUCCCCUCAGCCGUGCAUCCCGCCCUGAACACCAGCCACAUCCGCGAGGAAGAGACGCCUGGGGGUGUCUGGCUUUUAUGAGCGCACAACGGCCCAUGACCUGAUGACAAGGCCGGGGCCUGGGGGCGUCAGACAGGAGGGCAGGUGGCCUCCCCAGCGCCCAGGCGCUUCCACAGAGCAGGUGGAAGGCCUGCAGCCCUGGGCUGAGGCAUCUGCUCUGGUCUGAACGUGUGUGUUCCCCACAUUCGCGUUGAAGCCUCACCCCAAAGGCUGCCAUGUGGGCAGGUGGAGCCUCGGGGGUGAUGAGGCCAUCCUGGUGGGAAGCUGUCCCCAGGGGCUCAUCGCAGGCAGACUCUCAUCCUCAGGCUCCUGGGACAGCUGCCUGCUCCAAGCGUCCGUGCUCUCGGCAGAGCCCAGGUUUCUGGGGGCAGUUGCUGGGCUUCUCCCAUUAUGUGCUAACUUUUCUCUGCAGUAAAACCCGUAACACAAUUUUUUUUUUUCCUAUUUCUGGGCUCUUGACUCAAGUGGAAUUUUCCAAACUCACAGACCCUUGUGGUCCUCGGCCCGUGAUCUGACCCGUGGAUCAGAGUUUACUGCAGCGAAGCCAGCGGGCGUGAGGCUCUCUGAGCCGGCAUCCUGUGGGCACACGUGUGUGCAACGCGAAAUCGGUUACCGCGAAAUACCUUGACGUUAGAAGGCAAAGCUUCGUGUCCCGAUGGGUCACCAAGUCAUCCCGUUUCUCCCCACCAGCCCCUCUCACUCCCCACACCUGAGCACACAGACACGGGACGUGUACUCACACGCACACACAGCCUGGUGCUGGGGGCUGUGUACCUGGCAGACGCUCCCCCCGCCCCGAUACCUCCAAACAGAACUCGUGCCCAGCGGCAUGUUAAAUGCCCCUUGAAGCUACUAGAGGGCCACUGUCAAAAUGCCCACAGGCACGCCAGCCAUGCCGGGAGAUGAUGGCGCCGAUUGCCCACUGCCACCUGGCAUCUUGCACCCAGGCCCUUGGGACUGGACAGAGUUGACCUAAUCGCCGGAUCAGUCUGGGCAAAGCAGAAGUCAGCUCCUUCCAGAAGCAAAUCAAUGACAAGAACAGCAGCAGCUGCACUGAACAGUCUCUCCACGGAAAGAAUCACGCGGUAGCUCUGGAGUUUAAAGAUUUCCAGGGAAAUGGAGCCACCGGGCAUCAUGCGCCCAAGCCAGGACACUGCCUCUCGCCCGCAGCCGUCCCAGCGCACCGAACAAGCACAGGGCAGCAGCCCUGCUCAGGCUGAAAGGCACAGGCAGGCACCAGGGUGGCCUCCGUGCUCACAUCUGUCGGCUCCAGGUCAGCGAGUGUCCCAGGUGAGACUCAGAGGCAGAAGCAAAACACCGAACCAAAAUAAAAGCACAGGCUUCUACAAAGGCCGUGCUGUGCAGCACGGGGCCGAGGGCAGGGCUGCGCAGAGCAGAUAGGAGCCCCCUCGGGAGGGUCGGUCCGGCCUCGAGGACGCACGAACCCCGGGUGGACCCACUCCCGGGCCGCCUUCCAUGUCUGGGCCUCAUUUUGCCUCCAGAUCCUUGUGUCGCAGGGAGCGGUCGUUACUGACAAUGACCAUGGGACUCGGGGCCGCCGCGCGCUCCAAAGACUCCGUUGGCCGCUGCCCAGCUCAGCGCAGGUUGGGCCACUGCCAGCGGCGCGGAUGGACUUGGACGGACACCGGGAGGCGGAGGACCCGAGCAUUAUUUAGACUUUGUGGUUUCAUCCUGGGCAUGUGCCCAUUUAGGGAAAGUUACAGAUUCCGCAUCCCUGCUCUUGACCAAUUUGCCAAAAUACUAACGCCAGGGAUUAUGGAACUGACACACGCGCAAGAUUCAGAAGGCGGCCGGGUCCCCUCGACCUGGCUCUUCCUGAAGCACAUGUGCCGGUCAGCAGGGGACAGAUGUCUGGGUGGGGCUGGAUGCUCCACAGACACGCGGCGCAGGUUCUGGGGGGCUGGGCUGUGCCCUGUAUCAAACAGCCCCAAUGUCAGCCCAGCCUCCUUUCCAUCCUUCAGCUCCCCGUCAGCUGGCCACCCCAGUCCCGGGGAGCAGGCUGGUCCAGGGGGUGUCUUCCUCUCCAGCCUGCACCCACCCAGCCCCUGGGAGCUUCACCUGCUCACAGGGCACAGGCAGGAAGCCGCCAGGACCGGACGGACCCCCCCAUCCACACGCUAAGCUGGAGCCACAGCCACAGCGGCACAGGUUCUCCUGCACAGCCCUGCCAGCGGCUCCUCAACCCACCUCCUUCAGCCGUGGCCCCGUCCACCUGCCUCCGGGGGAAAUGGGUGCCCUGCCUGCACCUCAGCACAGAGCUCAGGUCCACACGGGGGAGGUGGCCUCGGGCUGCCAUCACGAGCACACGGGGCCCACCUGUCCCACACCAGGCAGCUGCAGGUCUCAAGCCCCAGGACCAAGACCAAUGGACCGGCCCUGGAGGAAACACACAGCCGACUCAGCUCAGGCCUGGGCUGGGCAGCUGCCGUCGGCCCCCACCAGGCUGGUCUGUGUCACCGAGCCACCGAGCCCGUCUGAACGGCUCACAGUCAAGUCCGGAGAACCACAACCGCGUCCGGGAGGCAUGUGAGCAAUGCGGGGGGCGGAGGAAGGGCUGAGAAACCAGCCCCUCCUCUGGUUUCCACGCAAAUGAAACCACUGAAACCACGAGGCACUGUUGCAAUAGCGGAGGAGAAGAGCCCUGGCUCUGGCUGCACCCUGGCAGGUCACGGAGGGCAGGUGGGCGCGGCUGGCAAAGGAGGGACACAAAGAGGGUGCUGCGGAGUCUCAAACUGAGAAGCAGCGAGAAGGGCUUCUAUCCCGCAGCGCCAAGGACCCACAUCUAGAAAGACAGUCACAUGGGACGAGGGGGACAGGAGGUAACCAGGCAAGGAAACGAGAAGCAGAACAGGGGGGCAGCCUCAAACGGAAGGGGGUGAGGGAGGGAUCACGCAACGAGGAAGGAGGGAUGGAGGUGAAUGAAAUUAACGCACAGUAAUGCAAGUUCCAGAAGGAGAACUGGUCUGCACAGCAGCCUCAGAAGGAGGGCCCUGAAGUUCUGACACGCUGACGCAGGGGCAUUUCUCCUGCCGGAGCCACGCAUCCUGCCCCAGGGUCACCACCUGUGAGGGCCGGGCAGCGGGUGGUGGGCACACGCCCGCGGGGAGGAAUCAAAAUUCAGGGAAGGAGGAGUGCCCGUCACGGCUCCAUGGAAACAAACCUCACUAGUGUCCAUGAGGACGCAGGUUUGAUCCCUGGGCUCGCCCAGUGGGUUAAGGAUCUGGUGUUGCUGUGAGCUGUGGUGUCGGUUGCAGACACAGCUCAGAGCUGGUGUUGCUGUGGCUGUGGCGUAGGCUGGUGGCUUCAGCUCCGAUUUGACCCAUAGCCUGGGAAGCUCCGUGUGCUGCAGGUGUGGCCCUAAAAAAAAAAAAAAAAAAAAA